CCUACGGGAGGCAUCAGUGGGGAAUAUUGGACAAUGGGGGCAACCCUGAUCCAGCCAUGCCGCGUGUGUGAAGAAGGCCCUCGGGUUGUAAAGCACUUUCAGUGAGGAAGAACGCCUGGUGGUUAAUACCCAUCAGGAAAGACAUCACUCACAGAAGAAGCACCGGCUAACUCCGUGCCAGCAGCCGCGGUAAUACGGAGGGUGCGAGCGUUAAUCGGAAUUACUGGGCGUAAAGCGCGCGUAGGUGGCUUGAUAAGCCGGUUGUGAAAGCCCCGGGCUCAACCUGGGAACGGCAUCCGGAACUGUCAAGCUAGAGUGCAGGAGAGGAAGGUAGAAUUCCCGGUGUAGCGGUGAAAUGCGUAGAGAUCGGGAGGAAUACCAGUGGCGAAGGCGGCCUUCUGGACUGACACUGACACUGAGGUGCGAAAGCGUGGGUAGCAAACAGGAUUAGAUACCCCUGUAGUC
This 465-nucleotide ribosomal RNA is filed under the name Vreelandella stevensii. RNAcentral describes it as "partial 16S ribosomal RNA". It matches the Rfam family "Bacterial small subunit ribosomal RNA", at positions 338 to 795 of the family's 1533-position model. The record is from RNAcentral. Lineage: Bacteria; Pseudomonadati; Pseudomonadota; Gammaproteobacteria; Oceanospirillales; Halomonadaceae.